GCCGGUGUGUUGGAAUUGGUAGACGAGGAGGACUCAAAAUCCUCAGCCAGCAAUGACGUGCGGGUUCGAGCCCCGCCACCGGCACCA
This 87-nucleotide transfer RNA is filed under the name Clostridia bacterium. RNAcentral describes it as "tRNA-Leu". It matches the Rfam family "tRNA". Rfam says of the family: Transfer RNA (tRNA) molecules are approximately 80 nucleotides in length. Their secondary structure includes four short double-helical elements and three loops (D, anti-codon, and T loops). Further hydrogen bonds mediate the characteristic L-shaped molecular structure. tRNAs have two regions of fundamental functional importance: the anti-codon, which is responsible for specific mRNA codon recognition, and the 3' end, to which the tRNAs corresponding amino acid is attached (by aminoacyl-tRNA synthetases). tRNAs cope with the degeneracy of the genetic code in two manners: having more than one tRNA (with a specific anti-codon) for a particular amino acid; and 'wobble' base-pairing, i.e. permitting non-standard base-pairing at the 3rd anti-codon position. The record is from RNAcentral. Lineage: Bacteria; Bacillati; Bacillota; Clostridia.